RNAcentral lists this ribosomal RNA (301 nucleotides) under uncultured bacterium. RNAcentral describes it as "partial 16S ribosomal RNA". It matches the Rfam family "Bacterial small subunit ribosomal RNA", at positions 509 to 807 of the family's 1533-position model. The record is from RNAcentral.
CAGUCGCCGCGGUAAUACGAAGGGUACAAGCGUUACUCGGAAUUACUGGGCGUAAAGCGUGCGUAGGCGGUGAGUUAAGUCUGCUGUGAAAUCCCCGGGCUCAACCUGGGAAUGGCAGUGGAUACUGGCUCGCUAGAGUGUGUCAGAGGAUGGUGGAAUUCCCGGUGUAGCGGUGAAGUGCGUAGAGAUCGGGAGGAACAUCAGUGGCGAAGGCGGCCAUCUGGGACAACACUGACGCUGAGGCACGAAAGCGUGGGGAGCAAACAGGAUUAGAUACCCGCGUAGUCCCUGUCUCUUAUAC